UUAUUUCUUUUGUUUGAUUCAGACACAAAGACUGACUUGUAGCAUAAAAACGACGCCUGAGCGCCGAAGCACAUAUAGCUUCCACAGGUUUGUAAGGUUGAAGGCACAGAGGCCAUUCAUUAAUGAUCCCUCCGCAGGUUCACCUACGGAGA
Molecule: unclassified non-coding RNA, 152 nt
Filed under: uncultured fungus
Lineage: Eukaryota; Fungi
Description: sequence contains ITS1
Source: RNAcentral